RNAcentral lists this ribosomal RNA (352 nucleotides) under uncultured bacterium. Its description in RNAcentral is "bacterial SSU rRNA". It matches the Rfam family "Bacterial small subunit ribosomal RNA", at positions 976 to 1326 of the family's 1533-position model. The record is from RNAcentral.
UGGCCUUGACAUUGAUAGAACACCCUAGAGAUAGAGUGGUGCCCUUCGGGGAACUUGAAAACAGGUGCUGCACGGCUGUCGUCAGCUCGUGUCGUGAGAUGUUGGGUUAAGUCCCGCAACGAGCGCAACCCUCGUCCUUAGUUGCCAGCAGGUUAAGCUGGGCACUCUAAGGAGACUGCCUUCGCAAGGAGGAGGAAGGUGAGGACGACGUCAAGUCAUCAUGGCCCUUACGGCCAGGGCUACACACGUGCUACAAUGGGGCGUACAGAGUGUUGCGAUACCGCGAGGUGGAGCUAAUCACUUAAAGCGUCUCUCAGUUCGGAUUGGAGUCUGCAACUCGACUCCAUGAAGC